Molecule: ribosomal RNA, 491 nt
Filed under: uncultured bacterium
Lineage: Bacteria
Description: bacterial SSU rRNA
Rfam family: Bacterial small subunit ribosomal RNA
Source: RNAcentral
UCAGUUGUGAAAGUUUGCGGCUCAACCGUAAAAUUGCAGUUGAUACUGGGUGUCUUGAGUACAGUAGAGGCAGGCGGAAUUCGUGGUGUAGCGGUGAAAUGCUUAGAUAUCACGAGGAACUCCGAUUGCGAAGGCAGCUUGCUGGACUGUAACUGACGCUGAUGCUCGAAAGUGUGGGUAUCAAACAGGAUUAGAUACCCUGGUAGUCCACACAGUAAACGAUGAAUACUCGCUGUUUGCGAUAUACAGUAAGCGGCCAAGCGAAAGCGUUAAGUAUUCCACCUGGGGAGUACGCCGGCAACGGUGAAACUCAAAGGAAUUGACGGGGGCCCGCACAAGCGGAGGAACAUGUGGUUUAAUUCGAUGAUACGCGAGGAACCUUACCCGGGCUUGAAUUGCAACUGAAUGAUGUGGAGACAUGUCAGCCGCAAGGCAGUUGUGAAGGUGCUGCAUGGUUGUCGUCAGCUCGUGCCGUGAGGUGUCGGCUUAAG